RNAcentral lists this ribosomal RNA (1025 nucleotides) under Salinator rhamphidia. RNAcentral's name for it is "16S ribosomal RNA". It matches the Rfam family "Bacterial large subunit ribosomal RNA", at positions 573 to 2713 of the family's 2925-position model. Lineage: Eukaryota; Metazoa; Mollusca; Gastropoda; Amphibolidae. The record is from RNAcentral.
UAAUUUGGUUUUGUUGAAAUUGUUUUUGUUGAGGAAUGGAAAUAGAUUUUUAUUAAUUGUAAAUUUUAUACCUUUUGCAUAAUGGUUUUGCUAUAAUGAAAAUGUAUUUAUUUGGACCCGAAUCAAGAAGAUCUAUAUUAUUUCCAUCAUUUGUGUGGCAUUACGAAGAGUCUGAAGAUAGUAUAGGGGUGAAAAGCCUUCAAUUCUUGGGAUAGCUGGAUUUUUCAAAAACGUAUUUAGUACGGAAGACAGGCCCUUUAUGGUUAGAUAAGGGGAGGAGGAGAAUCUUUAAUACGCACAAAUUUUUUCCAGGGAUAAAACCUCUAGUGGAACAGAAUUAAUUUAAUACUAAUUUCAUUUUUUAUCUCUUUAGUAUGAAAAACAGAAUAAAAAUUAAGUUAUUUUUUUAGAAUGCAAAAAUUAGUAGUAUAUAAGUGAGCUUAAGGAACUCGGCAAACUUUUCCCUCAACUGUUUAUCAAAAACAUAGCCCUAAGAAAAUAUUUAGGGUGAGCCCUGCCCGGUGACAAAUUAAUUUUUAACGGCCGCAGUACCUUGACUGUGCUAAGGUAGCGUAAUCAGUUGGCUUUUAAAUGGAGUCUUGUAUGAACGGGAACAUGGGGGAAAGCUGUCUCAAGCUUAGGAAUCGAAGUUGCUAAUAAGGUGAAAAUGCCUUAACUAAAUUAAAAGACGAGAAGACCCUUAGAGCUUUAAUAAAUUGAAUUAUUGUUCAAUACUUUUUUGUUGGGGCGACAAGGAGACAACGAACUCUCCCUUUUUUGUAGAACUUGCCGACUGAUUGUAAGAAAGAAUAAGCUACCUUAGGGAUAACAGCAUUAUUUUUUAUAAAGCUUAUGACCUCGAUGUUGGACUAGGGACUUUAUGACUAGCCGUCAGAUUAGCAUGUUCUGUUCGAACAAAUGGACCCUACAUGAUCUGAGUUCAGACCGGCGUAAGCCAGGUCAGAUUCUAUCUUUAAAUUUAUUCAGUUUUAGUACGAAAGGACCAAACUGGAUUCAUUAAUUUG